Molecule: small nuclear RNA, 103 nt
Organism: Ailuropoda melanoleuca (giant panda)
Lineage: Eukaryota; Metazoa; Chordata; Mammalia; Carnivora; Ursidae
Source: Ensembl
GUGGUCGCUUCACAGCACAGGUACUAAAACUGGAACGAUAUGGAGAUUAGCAUGGUGCCUGCACAAGGAUGACAUGCAAAUUCAUGAAGGUUUCUGUAUUUUU